Long non-coding RNA from Octopus sinensis (East Asian common octopus), 208 nucleotides. RefSeq lists it as uncharacterized. The transcript has 3 exons. Lineage: Eukaryota; Metazoa; Mollusca; Cephalopoda; Octopoda; Octopodidae. The record is from RefSeq and is a predicted model, not a curated record.
UAGGAUAUGGGGUCGCAUUGCUUUCACCACCAGUCUGGUGCCAUUGCACAGGCGAAGUGGAUCCAGAUUCUUGAGCAGCAUGAUUGUGGCCCCCUUUUUAAGUGUUAAAUGGUGAGGUGGCAUCCCAGAUGUUUGCAGAUAGUUCAGGAACUCAGUUGGAAAAACUACAACCUGGUCCUGAUCAAUGACAUGUUGAUGGAUUGAAAGA